AUGCUUAUGAAGGUAGACGGGAGAACUAGGAAAGUGUCUAAUACUUCCUUUAGGUUAUGAAGUCAUUGACUAAAAAAAAUCAUAAAUAUCACUCAGUGUCUGUUGGGGAUGCUGUUAAGAAUCAAGUAUACUUCACUGGUAAUUUCAAGAAUGCUGAGGAACAAUCACCCAAAUUACCUAAAAUACUGUGGUUUCCUUAGGUAGGGAUGAGAAGAAACUCUGAAAGUCUGCAGGUUGUGGUCUCAGGCGCAAAGGAAGUUUCUGGUCUUGUGUAACAUUGGUUAACUGGAAUGGUUACUGUCUUCUUUAGUAGGUGUGUAGUUUUCAACACCAGGUCAUCAGUCUGGGUCUAGUCAGAGGUCAGAAACCACAUCCAUCAUUUUAAUAGGGAGCAUUUAAUAGAAUUAAUCAUGUAUUAGACAAGUAAAAUGGCAAAGAGUGGACCGAGGAAUCACAGAAGUAGCUAUAGGAAGCAACUACCACCCUCAGAAGGAAGAGUUGGGGAUGCUUGAGAUGUCAAGGGUUGGGGAGGGCUGCUGAGAGCUGGGCUGACUUCUGAGGAGGGACCGGGCCAGCCAGUGCUGCUGUUGCAGGGAGUGAGGGGAAUGUGGAGGUAGGUUCUGGGACAGAGGAAAGAAAACCUACAAAUUGGAGCCAAUUGCUAUCACUGAACCCAACUGCCAGUGCAGUGCUCCCAAGAUGGGAAGCAGAGACCAGCAGUCUCAUCUCACUCUGCUAACCUUCCAGGCUCCCUCUAGCGCCCUCAUUGGCAGAGCUAACAGGGACCCUGCUCAUAAAAACAGGUGGGUGGUGUGUCAGCCCCAGCAUUCCAAACUAUUGAAAAGGCUUCAAGCUGAGACAAUAACUUAACAACCAAAACACCAGGAAGAUUUAGGCUUACAUGGAGAAAGAUUUGAAAGAAACAAAGCUGUAGCUCUGAUAUUUUUAUUUUAGGAAGGAAACUGCAUAUUUGAUGUUGUAGAUGCAUAUGGUAUUUAAGAGAAUAAGGCCCAUUAGAAUGACAGUUUUAUAACUCCACUUUAAAAUGUAUAAUCGAGUAUAAUUAGACUUAAUGAUUUUUAUGGUGACAUCUGAGUAAAGUAUAAAAACAUUUAAAAUUCUCUUAUUUAUAUAUUUAUUAGUUUCUGUGAGAAUUUAGGAUUGGGAAAGCUUUUACGUGCUGUCAGAAAAACUGAAGUACUUUAAAAAUAAAUAAAUAUAUUAAAUUUAUAAAUGCAUUCAAAAGCAUUUGCAGUGCUGAGCUAAGCUUGUAGAUAGGACUAAGCAUUAUUCAAAGGCUUCUCCAGAAUUAUUACCACAAUCUGCUAUACUUAGAGUAACAAAUUUAUAAGUUGAACUUAAAAAUGUAAAAAAGUUUUCUUAACCUGUACCUUAUAUUGAAUAUUGAUUCUAAAGACAAAAUUAUUAAUUGUAUUGUUUAUUAAAUACUUACUAAUUACUAAUUACUUAAGCUUAUUAAAUAUUAUGUUAAAGCUAAAUUUAAACAUAAUAAAAGUUUUUAAAGGUGAAAAACUAUUGAAAUCUUUCCUGGAUAGAAAUCUGUUGUCCAGGAUCCUCCCACCCCCAUUCCCUACCCCGCAAGGUUUUCCUAGAAAUGGCUAGACUAGAGCAAGAGAGACAGCUUUGUUUCUCUGCUCUUCUGGAAACCCUGAAACCAUCUCAUUUUGCAGUAGGCAGAGGAAUCAUACCCCUGACUUAGCCGUUUUGCAUCCUCAUUUUCUAUCAAGCCAGGAUAUCCUAUGGAAUAGAGAGGGAUGACCACUGGUCUUAGGGUGAAAGAACCGGGGCUGAGUCCCAGCUCCACUGCUUAAAGCGCCAAGCCUCAGUUCUUGCAGAUGGGGACACCUGCCUUUCGGUGUAAGGCACAGUGCGAGGCACACCAGGGUGGCAGCACCGAAAUCUCCCCUGUGCUGAAUCCUGAGUGCAGGGGACUUAGGACAAGAAGUUGCUUGCCCUAGCACACAGGCCUGGGCUGCUCCCUCUUACUUCACGGCAGGAGGGUUUCUUUAAGGAGGUGGCCCUGCAACAAACAAGGGCUCUUCUCUCCCUCAGGCACAUGAUCCAGGCUCUGUGAAAUUCCUCAGUGCGUAAAAGGGACAGGCCAGGAAAGAGGUGCCUGGCUCAGGAGCAAAGUAGCAGCCCUAUGGGACAGGGGUAGCUGUCUGCAGGGCCAAGGCAGCCUCUGGAUAGAGCAGGAAGGGGCAGGGCUACAGAACGGCCUCAGACCUGGCCCCCACCUGUGCUCACAGUGUCACCUGGCCAUGCAGCCUCAGUUGAAACAUGCCUAGAGAGCAUCAUGGGGAUGGUUCCCCACCUAGGGAAGAAAGGCUAGGGGGUGAAGGUCCUCUCUGAAAAUACCUGGGAGGGAGGGAGCAGAGACCAGAAUUACCACCAAGCCGUUAAUUCAUUCAAUGCUAAUGAUGUUGAACUUUUUCUGUAUUGCUAGGCCCCAGGCACACAAACAGAAAUCCUAUAGUCCUCACCUUCCUAGGAUAGCACCUGAGAGUACAGAGGCAAAAGUAGCUCCUUUUACCUGGAUGAGGGAGAGGGAGCAGCCGGAGCAAGGCGGAGGGUAUGGAGGCAGAGGGCAGUCUCCUGGGGCGACAAAGUCAGAGAGCAGUACAGGAGGCAGGAAGGGCAGGUGGGGAUCAGCUUGCGGAGGACUGUGAAGCCAAGUUUAGGUGUGUGGAUUUUAUUCCAAACCAGGGAGAAGUUUUAAGCAGGGAUUGAAUUUUAGGAAGAUCAGUUGAGGGUGUCCAGAGGGAGAAAUGGAGUCUGGAGACCAGUAUGGAAAGUACCAAGUUGUAGAAGUGCGGACAGGGGAUGAUGAGGGCCUGACAGGCGUAUGAGAUGGGAAAUGAGAUUUGAGUGAGGGACUCCAGGAAUUGUGGUCACCAUAGGAGUCCAGGCCAGGGAGUAGAAGUUGGGCUUAAAGACCCCUGGGCCAGGUGGUAUAGCACCUGGACAUUGAAACCAGCACCCACCUGCCCGGUGCAGCCUCGUCUUCCCUGGGGUCCUCAGCAUGUCAUGGGGCUGGCCUUUUUCCCGCUGAGACAUCAGCAGAGGCAGUUCCCACAGAAAUCUUGAGAUAAAGAUUUUCCAGGUGGGCCCAGUGGGAUCCCAGGCAUCUUUAAAAGUGGAAGAGGGGGACAGAAUGAAGGUUGGUGAUGUGAGAGGGAUGGAGCCCAUCAUUGCUGGUGCUGAAGAUGAAGAGGGCCAUGCACCAUGCAGUUCGGGCUGCAGCUAAAGUUGGCCAGGAAGGCAAGGAAGUGGAGUCUCCCUCGGAGCCUCCAGAAAGGAACGCCGCCCUGCCAGCACCUCGGUUUUAACCCAGUGAGACCCAGGUUAGACUUCCAGCCUACAAAACUGUGAGAUGAUAUGUGCGUGCUGGUUUAAGCCACUCACUCAUGGUAAUUUGUUCUGGCAAGGAGCAGGAACAAAAGCAGAUUGUAAGGCUGACUCCUCCUGUUCAUUCAGGCCUCAUCUUAAGUCACCUUGCGAGAGCCCUUCUCUAGUCACCUGGCCUAGUCACUGCAUUUUGCCAUUUUCUUUCAUCUACUGUUGUUCAUUAUUUGAAAUGCUUGCGUUGACCUGAUUGCCAGCCUUCUCCCAUUUGAAGCUAAGCUCCAGGAGAGUGGGCACCAGGUUAUCUGGUCCACCUCCAGCACCCAGAGGCGCUUACAGUGCAGGGGCAGUUCCAUAAAUAUUUGGUGGGAAGAUGAGUGGCGCACCAAUGACGUGCCCGCAUCCGAGGCGGAACACUCAGGGUUCAUAGUUCAUAGCGCCAGCCUCUGAAGGCGCAACAAAAAAGUGUGAACACCCUUCUCUGCCUCCGGGAUUUUCAGUCAGUUCAGGUCACACCUCUUUGAAAGUGCUUACGAAGCCUUCCGAGGCCUCAGGCUAACACUGCACCAGCCCUCCCAGAAAAAUAUCUAUGGAGAGCAAAAUAUUAUACAUUGCCUCUGCCAAACAGAACCAGAGGAUAACAUAUGCAGACAGUCCACGAGUAAAUACGGAAAGGGCUUCCUCCAGGUCACACUCUGAAAAGAGACCAACCUGGCUUCAGAAGAGGCCUUGCCUUCUCAGACUUUGUUCGGUGUUGUCCAAGCUUCUCCACAGACAGGCUGUUUCUCCAGGAAAUGACUUGACCAUCCAGAGGAGGAUGGCAGGCAAGGCCCAGCGGAGAGGGGCUGAGGUCAGGCUGCUGCCUAACCCUGUGGGGGGGGACAGGAAAAGGGACACGGAGGCAGGGAAGGCAGGCUCCUCACAUAGGAUGCAUAAAAGAUCUAACAGGGACCUGCCACACUUGCAAAUUCAGUCAAGACAUGCAGCCUGGGAACAGGGUAACACAUACAAAAUGAUAUUUAUUGAAUCCUUUUUGGUGGAAAGAUUUUUGGUUUCUGAGCCAUUGGAGUUUAAGAGUCGUGAUUGUUUCCUGUCAUUAAACCUCAGCCACAGUAAGAUCCUAGCUUAAAUAAUGAAAAUGAAUCUUUAUCUUCUGAAGGGGAGAGAAAGUGAUUAACACAGUACCGCUGUCACUCUUGGAGUAGCUCUGAUGGCUAGAAUGCUUAUAAACGUCAACAGAGUUUUUAUGUGUACAGUGUGAGAUAGUUACUGGACAAAUAUGAGGGUGUACAUCAAAGAUAAAUUGUAAACUGGCCAAUAGUCAUUAGCAAAUAAGUACGUUGGGUCUGUACUGACACUCCCAUUCUCAACCUAAGAGCUUACGUGUUUUAACUGCUGUCCUUAUUGGGGCAUUUAGUAUUUGGAACAAGCAUUUAGGAGUUCUUGUUGUAGCUCAGUGGAAACAAACCUGGCUAGUAUCCAUGAGGAUGUGGGUUAGAUCCCUGGCCUUAUUUGGUGGCUUAAGGAUCAGCAUUGCUGUGAGCUGCGGUGUAGGUCACAGACAUGCCUCAGAUCCUGCAUUGCUGUGGCUGUAGCUGUGCCAUAAGCCAGCAGCUUCAGCUCUGAUUCGACCCCUAGCUUGGAAACCUCAUACGUUGUGGGUAUGGCCCUAAA
This 5040-nucleotide long non-coding RNA is filed under the name Sus scrofa (pig). RNAcentral describes it as "lncRNA (ENSSSCG00000054464.1)". Lineage: Eukaryota; Metazoa; Chordata; Mammalia; Artiodactyla; Suidae. The record is from RNAcentral.